CGUGGCGAUACCACCCUGAACGCACCUGAGCUCAUCUGAUCUCGGAAGCUAAGCAGGGUCGGGCCCGGUUAGUACUUGGAUGGGAGUUAUGAAGAGAUUCAGCUCUGUGUCAUUU
Molecule: ribosomal RNA, 115 nt
Filed under: Propithecus coquereli (Coquerel's sifaka)
Lineage: Eukaryota; Metazoa; Chordata; Mammalia; Primates; Indriidae
Source: RNAcentral